GAUGAACGCUGGCGGCGUGCCUAAUACAUGCAAGUCGAGCGAACAGACGAGAGUGCUUGCACUCUCUGACGUUAGCGGCGGACGGGUGAGUAACACGUGGGUAACCUACCUAUAAGACUGGGAUAACCUCGGGAAACCGGAGCUAAUACCGGAUAAUAUUUAGCUUCGCAUGAAGCAAUAGUGAAAGACGGUUCUGCUGUCACUUAUAGAUGGACCCGCGGUGUAUUAGCUAGUUGGUGAGGUAACGGCUCACCAAGGCAACGAUACAUAGCCGACCUGAGAGGGUGAUCGGCCACACUGGGACUGAGACACGGCCCAGACUCCUACGGGAGGCAGCAGUAGGGAAUCUUCCGCAAUGGACGAAAGUCUGACGGAGCAAUGCUGCGUGAGUGAAGAAGGUUUUCGGAUCGUAAAACUCUGUUGUAAGGGAAGAACAAGUACGUUAGUAACUGAACGUACCUUGACGGUACCUUACCAGAAAGCCACGGCUAACUACGUG
RNAcentral lists this ribosomal RNA (499 nucleotides) under uncultured bacterium. RNAcentral's name for it is "partial 16S ribosomal RNA". It matches the Rfam family "Bacterial small subunit ribosomal RNA", at positions 28 to 507 of the family's 1533-position model. The record is from RNAcentral.